GUUCAAUAUUACAAUAUACGAAGUUGCAACGAAUGUGACUGUCAUAUUCCCCCUCCUCCUCUUUAUCGAAUCUCUUUCUGUGGUCUGAAUAUGUGUAAGAAAGAUCAAAUAGACAAUCACUUCUUUAGUUGGUGUUGAAUAGUGCAGGGGAGUAGUGCACGUGCUCGUGGGAAUAGUGCUUGGUAUAAAGUUGUUUUUUUCUCUGGUGUCUUUUUUUUGGGUGCUCGUGCGUACAUUUUUGUCGGUGUUUGGCGUUUUGUAGUUUUUUUCACAAUGGCUGAGGAAUAUAAUUUAAAAUCACUCGGUAAGGCGUUAAAAAAUAAAAUUUAUAUUAAACAUAUAUCUUUCUUUACCAGCCCUCCCUUAAAUAUACAUACAAUUUGUAAUGGAAAUACAUAUG
Molecule: long non-coding RNA, 400 nt
Organism: Musca domestica (house fly)
Lineage: Eukaryota; Metazoa; Arthropoda; Insecta; Diptera; Muscidae
Exons: 3
Source: RefSeq, a predicted model, not a curated record